This 957-nucleotide non-coding RNA is filed under the name Apogon semilineatus (half-lined cardinal). RNAcentral's name for it is "12S rRNA". It matches the Rfam family "Bacterial small subunit ribosomal RNA". Lineage: Eukaryota; Metazoa; Chordata; Actinopteri; Kurtiformes; Apogonidae. The record is from RNAcentral.
CAAAGGCUUGGUCCUGACUUUACUGUCAACUGUAGCUAAACUUACACAUGCAAGUAUCCGCACCCCCGUGAGAAUGCCCCACAGCUCCCUGCCCGGGAGCAAGGAGCUGGUAUCAGGCUCUUUUCUUAAGAAAUAGCCCACGACACCUUGCUUAGCCACACCCUCAAGGGAUCUCAGCAGUGAUAAACAUUAAGCCAUAAGCGAAAGCUUGACUUAGUUAAAGCUUAGAGGGCCGGUAAAACUCGUGCCAGCCACCGCGGUUAUACGAGAGGCCCAAGCUGACAGCUACCGGCGUAAAGAGUGGUUAAUAACCCCGCCAUACUAAAGCCGAACAUCUCCAAAGUUGUACAACGCACUCGAAGACAUGAAGACCUGCCACGAAAGUGACUUUACACUCUUUGAACCCACGAAAGCUAAGAAACAAACUGGGAUUAGAUACCCCACUAUGCCUAGCCCUAAAAUUAGAUAGAACACUACCUACACCUAUCCGCCCGGGUACUACGAGCACCAGCUUGAAACCCAAAGGACUUGGCGGCGCUUCACACCCACCUAGAGGAGCCUGUUCUAGAACCGAUGACCCCCGUUCAACCUCACCUUCUCUUGUUCUCCCCGCCUAUAUACCGCCGUCGUCAGCCCACCCUGUGAAGGCCCAGUAGUGAGCAGAAUUGGCAUAGCCCAAAACGUCAGGCCGAGGUGUAGCGUAUGAGAAGGGAAGAAAUGGGCUACAAUUGCUUAAACAGCUAAAACGAAUUGUAACGCUGAAAAUGCAGACAUGAAGGAGGAUUUAGAAGUAAGAGGGCAAACAGAGUGUCCCCCUGAAAUGGUUCUGAAGCGUGCACACACCGCCCGUCACUCUCCCCAAGUUAGAAUAUUACCUAGUAACUAAACACUUAACCCUACAAAGGGGAGGCAAGUCGUAACAUGGUAAGUGUACCGGAAGGUGCACUUGGAAGAAAC